UUUUUGUAUUACGACUAAAGGAACCGAAUUUAGGUGAUCUAAAAAAUUUUUGAUAUUUUUUCUCAUAAAAUCGAGAAUUAAGAAUAUUAGCACUAAAAAAGAAAAUCGGACCUAAAAAACUGAUAAAGGCAAUAUUUAUAAAAUAAACAAUAUAAUAAAUUACCUCAGAGGGUAAUAUUUUUAAAAAUAUAUUGAGCAUAAUAAAAAAAAUAAUUAAUUAGCCCCCUUAAUAAAAUAAUCUUUAGAUAAAUCUUAUUUUAAAGAACUAGAAAAAAUUUUUGUUCCCGGCUGUUUAACAAAAACAUCUCUUCAGUGUUAGAAGUAUGCCCUGCUCAAAUUAUUAGUAAAAAAAGCCGUAUAAUCGUAAAAGUAGCAUAAUUACUAGCCGUCUAAUUAGCGGAUUGUCUGAAUGGGUCAACGCGGGAUAAGUUUUCUUAAAAUUAAAAAAAAUGAGGUAAAAUCUCCCAUAAUAUUCCAUUAGACGAUAAGACCCUUCAAUCUAAAUAAUUUCGUUGGGGCAACAAAGGGAAAUAUAACCUUUUAAUAAGGUGAAAAACAUUUUUAUAUGAUACUGGAGGGAUAACAGCAUAAUAUUUUCCAUAAAGAUCUCAUUUUUGGAAAAGAGUAUGACCUCGAUGUUGAACCAGAGAAAAU
This 654-nucleotide ribosomal RNA is filed under the name Spadella cephaloptera. RNAcentral describes it as "partial 16S ribosomal RNA". The record is from RNAcentral. Lineage: Eukaryota; Metazoa; Chaetognatha; Sagittoidea; Phragmophora; Spadellidae.